RNAcentral lists this ribosomal RNA (777 nucleotides) under uncultured Neocallimastigales. RNAcentral describes it as "partial large subunit ribosomal RNA". It matches the Rfam family "Eukaryotic large subunit ribosomal RNA", at positions 22 to 635 of the family's 3401-position model. The record is from RNAcentral. Lineage: Eukaryota; Fungi; Neocallimastigomycota; Neocallimastigomycetes; Neocallimastigales.
CAUAGCGACUAUCGUGGCAUAUCAAUAAGCGGAGGAAAAGAAACUAACUAGGAUUCCCUUAGUAACGGCGAGUGAAGCGGGAAGAGCUCAAAUUUGAAAUCUUCAAGGUUUACCUUGACGAAUUGUAGUUUAAAGAAGUGUGUUCUGUUGGAAGUUUUGGUAAAAGUUCUUUGGAAUAGGACAUCAUAGAGGGUGAGAAUCCCGUAUUUGACCAUUAUUUCCAACUUUGUGAUACACUUUCAAAGAGUCGGAUUGUUUGGGAAUGCAGUCCAAAAUGGGUGGUAAAUUUCAUCUAAAGCUAAAUAUUGGCGAGAGACCGAUAGCGAACAAGUACCGUGAGGGAAAGAUGAAAAGAACUUUGAAAAGAGAGUUAAACAGUACGUGAAAUUGUCAAAAGGGAAGCGUUUGACACCAGUGUUGUUUUCUCGAAAAUCAAUUAAAAAUGCCUGGGAUGUUGUGUUGUAUUGACUUUAUCAGCUUUCUGCACUUUUUCCUUAUCUUUUUUAAUGCACUUUUCGUUUAACAAGUCAACAUCAAUUUCUUUUGUUGUAAAAGAGUCAUUGGAAGGUGGCUUUCAUUUCGGAGAAAGUGUUUAUAGCCUUUGACUUCUGCAAUCGGAGAGAUUGAGGUCUGCAGCGUAGAUCCUUCGGGGUUAGAUGCAUUUGUGCUAAGUUAUAGCUUUGUCAUAGACAACUUGUUGACUAUGUUCAGUCAUUGUAGCUUACUCGCUUAUGCUAUUUUACCUACGCUUAGGAUGUUGAUAUGCAUGACUGAUAU